This 101-nucleotide microRNA precursor is filed under the name Lottia gigantea (owl limpet). RNAcentral's name for it is "microRNA lgi-mir-100 precursor". Its record names the gene lgi-mir-100. The stretch from base 14 to 84 matches the Rfam family "mir-10 microRNA precursor family". Rfam says of the family: In this case the mature sequence comes from the 5' arm of the precursor. Lineage: Eukaryota; Metazoa; Mollusca; Gastropoda; Lottiidae. The record is from miRBase by way of RNAcentral.
AUUAGUGACUAGUUAAUAUAAACCCGUAGAUCCGAACUUGUGAUAAAAUCUGACGCAAGCUUGUUUCUAGGGGUCCUAUAUUGGCUAGGGUAUCUACAGAU